AUUGAACGCUGGCGGCAGGCUUAACACAUGCCAGUCGAGCGCGCGGCGGACGGGUGAGUAAUGUCUGGGAAACUGCCUGAUGGAGGGGGAUAACUACUGGAAACGGUAGCUAAUAACGCAUACCAUCAGAUGUGCCCAGAUGGGAUUAGCUAGUCGGUGGGGUAAUUGCUCACCUAGGCGACGCUCCCUAGCUGGUCUGCGAGGAUGACCAGCCACACUGGAACGGAGACACGGUCCAGACUCCUACGGGAGGCAGCAGUGGAGAAUAUUGAACAAUGGGCGCAAGCCUGAUGCAGCCAUGCCGCGUGUGUGAAGAGGGCCUUCGGGGUGUAAAGCACUUUCAGCGAGGAGGCGUUACUCGCAGAAGAAGCACCGGCUAACUCCGUGCCAGCAGCCGCGGUAAUUC
Molecule: ribosomal RNA, 406 nt
Filed under: uncultured bacterium
Lineage: Bacteria
Description: partial 16S ribosomal RNA
Rfam family: Bacterial small subunit ribosomal RNA
Source: RNAcentral